RNAcentral lists this ribosomal RNA (254 nucleotides) under uncultured bacterium. RNAcentral describes it as "partial 16S ribosomal RNA". It matches the Rfam family "Bacterial small subunit ribosomal RNA", at positions 524 to 776 of the family's 1533-position model. The record is from RNAcentral.
UACAGAGGGUGCGAGCGUUGUUCAGAAUUAUUGGGCGUAAAGGGCGCGUAGGCGGUCAGCACAAGUCAGUUGUGAAAUCUCCGGGCUUAACUCGGAAAGGUCAACUGAUACUGUGCGACUAGAGUGCAGAAGGGGCAACUGGAAUUCUCGGUGUAGCGGUGAAAUGCGUAGAUAUCGAGAGGAACACCUGCGGCGAAGGCGGGUUGCUGGGCUGACACUGACGCUGAUGCGCGAAAGCCAGGGGAGCGAACGGG